UGGACUGCAUGUCUAGUAGAGGCAUAACACAGUCUGUGAUGGCAAAUGGCUCAUUAUAUAAGUUAUCGUUUAUUUGAUAGUGCCUACCUACUCGGAUAACCGUGGUAAUUCUAGAGCUAAUACGUGCUUAAAGCCCCAACUCACGAAGGGGCGUAUUUAUUAGAUUAAAAACCAACGCCCUCACGGGCUCACUGGUGAUUCAUGAUAACUUCUCGAAUCGCACGGCCCUGCGCCGGCGAUGGUUCAUUCAAAUUUCUUCCCUAUCAACUUUCGAUGUUUGGGUAGUGGCCAAACAUGGUGACAACGGGUAACGGAGGGUUAGGGCUCGACCCCGGAGAAGGAGCAUGAGAAACGGCUCCUACAUCCAAGGAAGGCAGCAGGCGCGCAAAUUACCCAAUCCCGACACGGGGAGGUAGUGACAAUAAAUACUGAUACAGGGCCCUUUCGGGUCUUGUAAUUGGAAUGAGUACAAUUUAAAUCCCUUAACGAGGAACAAUUGGAGGGCAAGUCUGGUGCCAGCAGCCGCGGUAAUUCCAGCUCCAAUAGCGUAUAUUAAAGUUGUUGUGAUUAAAACGUUCGUAGUUGAAACUAUGGUCUCGCCGCCUGGUCCCCCUCACAGGGUGCACUGGCGCGGCGGGGCCUUUCCCUCUGCGGAGCCGCAUACCCUUCACUGGGCGUGCCGGGGAAGCAGGACUUUUACUGUGAAAAAAUUAGAGUGCUCCAAGCAGGCCUUUGCUCGGAUACAUUAGCAUGGAAUAAUGAAAUAGGACGCGCCGUUUUAUUUUGUUGGUUUCUAGGACGGCCGUAAUGAUUAAUAGGGACAAUCGGGGGCGUCAGUAUUCAAUCGUCAGAGGUGAAAUUCUUGGAUUGAUUGAAGACUAACUACUGCGAAAGCAUUCGUCAAGGGUGUUUUCAUUAAUCAGGAACGAAAGUUGGGGGAUCGAAGACGAUCAGAUACCGUCGUAGUCUCAACCAUAAACUAUGCCGACUAGGAUUGGGCGGUGUUAAACUUGACCCGCUCAGCACCUUACGAGAAAUCAAAGGUUCUUGGGCUUCAGGGGGAGUACGUCGCAAGGCUGAAACUUAAGAAUUGACUGAGAGCACCACAGGGGUGACCUGCGCUUAUUGACUCACACGGGAAACUCACAGUCAGAACCUGGAGGAUGGACGAUGAAGCUCUUCUGGAUCAUGAUGGGGUCAUGCGUUCUAGUCGGUUGAACGUGCAGUCAUGCAUACAACGAAACGCAACCGUACUAAAAUCCCGGGCGCCCU
Molecule: ribosomal RNA, 1272 nt
Filed under: uncultured fungus
Lineage: Eukaryota; Fungi
Description: partial small subunit ribosomal RNA
Rfam family: Eukaryotic small subunit ribosomal RNA
Source: RNAcentral